This 386-nucleotide ribosomal RNA is filed under the name uncultured bacterium. RNAcentral describes it as "bacterial SSU rRNA". It matches the Rfam family "Bacterial small subunit ribosomal RNA", at positions 30 to 416 of the family's 1533-position model. The record is from RNAcentral.
AUUGAACGCUGGCGGCAUGCCUUACACAUGCAAGUCGAACGGCAGCACGGACUUCGGUCUGGUGGCGAGUGGCGAACGGGUGAGUAAUGUAUCGGAACGUACCUUUCAGUGGGGGAUAACGUAGCGAAAGUUACGCUAAUACCGCAUAUUCUGUGAGCAGGAAAGCAGGGGAUCGCAAGACCUUGCGCUGAUUGAGCGGCCGAUAUCAGAUUAGCUAGUUGGUGGGGUAAAGGCCUACCAAGGCGACGAUCUGUAGCGGGUCUGAGAGGAUGAUCCGCCACACUGGAACUGAGACACGGUCCAGACUCCUACGGGAGGCAGCAGUGGGGAAUUUUGGACAAUGGGGGCAACCCUGAUCCAGCCAUGCCGCGUGAGUGAAGAAGGCC